Molecule: ribosomal RNA, 480 nt
Filed under: uncultured bacterium
Lineage: Bacteria
Description: partial 16S ribosomal RNA
Rfam family: Bacterial small subunit ribosomal RNA
Source: RNAcentral
GAUGAACGCUAGCGGCAGGCCUAACACAUGCAAGUCGAGGGGGAGGUUACUUUCGGGUAACUGAGACCGGCGUACGGGUGCGUAACGCGUAUACAAUCUGCCUUUCACUGGGGGAUAGCCCGAAGAAAUUUGGAUUAAUACCCCAUAGUAUAGUAAUACGGCAUCGUGAUGCUAUUAAAGCUUAGGUGGUGAAAGAUGAGUAUGCGUUCUAUUAGCUAGUUGGAGAGGUAACGGCUCCCCAAGGCGAUGAUAGAUAGGGGUUCUGAGAGGGAUGUCCCCCACACUGGUACUGAGAUACGGACCAGACUCCUACGGGAGGCAGCAGUGAGGAAUAUUGGACAAUGGUCGGAAGACUGAUCCAGCCAUGCCGCGUGCAGGAUGAAGGUCUUAUGGAUUGUAAACUGCUUUUGUAAGGGAAGAAUAAGGGCUACGCGUAGUUUGAUGACGGUACCCUACGAAUAAGCAUCGGCUAACUCCGUG